This 521-nucleotide ribosomal RNA is filed under the name uncultured bacterium. RNAcentral's name for it is "partial 16S ribosomal RNA". It matches the Rfam family "Bacterial small subunit ribosomal RNA", at positions 355 to 892 of the family's 1533-position model. The record is from RNAcentral.
UGGGGAAUAUUGCACAAUGGGCGAAAGCCUGAUGCAGCAACGCCGCGUGAGUGAUGAAGGUCUUCGGAUUGUAAAGCUCUGUCUUUUGGGACGAUAAUGACGGUACCAAAGGAGGAAGCCACGGCUAACUACGUGCCAGCAGCCGCGGUAAUACGUAGGUGGCGAGCGUUGUCCGGAUUUACUGGGCGUAAAGGGUGCGUAGGCGGAUGUUUAAGUGAGAUGUGAAAUACCCGGGCUUAACUUGGGUGCUGCAUUUCAAACUGGAUAUCUAGAGUGCAGGAGAGGAGAAUGGAAUUCCUAGUGUAGCGGUGAAAUGCGUAGAGAUUAGGAAGAACACCAGUGGCGAAGGCGAUUCUCUGGACUGUAACUGACGCUGAGGCACGAAAGCGUGGGUAGCAAACAGGAUUAGAUACCCUGGUAGUCCACGCCGUAAACGAUGAGUACUAGGUGUAGGAGGUAUCGACCCCUUCUGUGCCGCAGUAAACACAUUAAGUACUCCGCCUGGGAAGUACGAUCGCAAG